CACCGCGGUUAUACGAGAGGCCCAAGUUGAUAGACACCGGCGUAAAGAGUGGUUAAGAAAAAAUUAAUACUAAAGCCGAACACCUCCCGAGCUGUUAUACGCACCCGAAGGUAAGAAGCCCAAUCACGAAAGUGGCUUUAAUAUAUCCGAAUCCACGAAAGCUAUGGCA
RNAcentral lists this ribosomal RNA (169 nucleotides) under Parabembras curta. RNAcentral describes it as "partial 12S rRNA". The record is from RNAcentral. Lineage: Eukaryota; Metazoa; Chordata; Actinopteri; Perciformes; Parabembridae.